UCGCACGACACCUCCCCUUCAGUUCUCCGACUCUCAUUUUCUGCAAGGAAUGUCUAUCGUAGACCUCUCAGUCAGGGCUGACAAUCCACGGUGCGUCGCAUCUCAGCCUGAAUCGGGACCUCGAGCUUGCCGCGGUUGGAAUCAUCAUGGCCUAUGGUUGUCUAUACCAGACAAUGCAGUCCAGCUGAGAGAAUGAGUUUCGGAACUUAACCCUAAGUAUCCUUUUGGUACAAGUCUUGCGCCCGAAGUCGUCGAAUCUGCCUUUUAAAUCCACCCGGCUUCUCGGUCACGCUGUCGCCGCUGAAAAGCGGUGUCGCCGGCCGAGGGUCGCGGUGGAUGGACUGGCAGGGAACACAUUCCAGUCACCAUUUGGUGCGCGAAAGGGGGUCGCUAUGAGUCGUAUGGGUAAGAGCCUCUGGUCCGAGGCCGCUCGUCAGGACCUAUCCGCUGGAAGCAGAACUCUGGCCAAGAAUAGAUUGCCCGGAGAAGAUUGCAGACAUGGCUUGCAGGUUCGACUUGGCAACAAGCGGCGUUUCUUGGGGGGUGCUAUGGACAAGUUGAAGGAGCAUUGCGUUUGCCACGAACAGUCAGCAUCGAAGUUUCAAUCUACACGAUGCCUUGGAUUCGACUCGCCAGUCGUACAACAGUGCUGCGAGGAAGCCUGGCCAACAAACAGAAACUUUUCGAUCUGACGAAUCCCAUCGCCACGCUCAGCUCUCGGCACCCACCUGUCCAGUGCACCACCCCCGUACUCACUCAGCAGCCAAGCAGUUGCCAGCAUCGAAUUCCGCAGCCAGUCGGCUUCUCUCCGAGCCACACCCACGGCAAUUGCCACGGAUGUGACAUGCCCCCAUGUGAUCUGGCCAGGCGCAUUAGCCUUCAGUCGUGGGUUCUGUCCCACGACAUUGGAGGACGCCAAGUCUACGUUGGUCCCACUGGGAACCAACACUUACCCGGUGGCCUGGCACUAGCGAGAACCACUGGAUGAGAGCGCGGUUUUUCAUGGAUGUAUUUUGUCCGCGCGGAAUGCCCUCCAUUGCAUCUUGAGCAAGGAGAGGAAACAAAAACUAGUCCAAGGAGGUCGUGCGGUCCAAACAGAGAGAGCCUCCCCGACGGUUUGAGAGUACGCAUACUGAGAUUCAAUUCGCCGAACUCUGGACGGGUGGCUGUGUAGGUGAAAGUUGUGGCUCGUGAGCGGGAGACAGCUCAAGCGAUACCCGCAAAGGCCCUGGGUGGGAGGGCUAGACCGGUUGAACGGGUCUGAAGCGAUCCCGGGACCCAUCUCGAGUUGGAGUCAAAGUUUGGUGCUUGUCCGGGAUUGUGAAGGAUCAGAAUAGCUGUCUAUCCCCUGUCACAUUGGGCCUGCGCGCUCGUUGGAUGAUAAGGACAGGCCUAUGGACGGCAGUCCUGGUUGCCACCUCUCCAGGAAUGGCGAGAUUGGCAACCCC
RNAcentral lists this telomerase RNA (1448 nucleotides) under Colletotrichum orchidophilum. RNAcentral describes it as "Ascomycota telomerase RNA". It matches the Rfam family "Ascomycota telomerase RNA", at positions 208 to 1846 of the family's 1858-position model. Lineage: Eukaryota; Fungi; Ascomycota; Sordariomycetes; Glomerellales; Glomerellaceae. The record is from Rfam by way of RNAcentral.